GAUGAACGCUGGCGGCGUGCCUAAUACAUGCAAGUCGAGCGAACGGACGAGAAGCUUGCUUCUCUGAUGUUAGCGGCGGACGGGUGAGUAACACGUGGAUAACCUACCUAUAAGACUGGGAUAACUUCGGGAAACCGUAGCUAAUACCGGAUAAUAUUUUGAACCGCAUGGUUCAAAAGUGAAAGACGGUCUUGCUGUCACUUAUAGAUGGAUCCGCGCUGCAUUAGCUAGUUGGUAAGGUAACGGCUUACCAAGGCAACAAUGCAUAGCCGACCUGAGAGGGUGAUCGGCCACACUGGAACUGAGACACGGUCCAGACUCCUACGGGAGGCAGCAGUAGGGAAUCUUCCGCAAUGGGCGAAAGCCUGACGGAGCAACGCCGCGUGAGUGAUGAAGGUCUUCGGAUCGUAAAACUCUGUUAUUAGGGAAGAACAUAUGUGUAAGUAACUGUGCACAUCUUGACGGUACCUAAUCAGAAAGCCACGGCUAACUACGUG
RNAcentral lists this ribosomal RNA (497 nucleotides) under uncultured bacterium. RNAcentral describes it as "partial 16S ribosomal RNA". It matches the Rfam family "Bacterial small subunit ribosomal RNA", at positions 28 to 507 of the family's 1533-position model. The record is from RNAcentral.